AGCUUGUUGGUGGGGUAACGGCCUACCAAGGCAUCGACGGGUAGCUGGUCUGAGAGGAUGAUCAGCCACACUGGGACUGAGACACGGCCCAGACUCCUACGGGAGGCAGCAGUGGGGAAUCUUGCGCAAUGGGCGAAAGCCUGACGCAGCAACGCCGCGUGCGGGAAGAAGGCCUUCGGGUUGUAAACCGCUUUCAGAAGGAACGAAACUGACGGUACUUUCAGAAGAAGGUGCGGCCAACUACGUGCCAGCAGCCGCGGUGACACGUAGGCACCAAGCGUUGUCCGGAUUUAUUGGGCGUAAAGAGCUCGUAGGCGGUUCGAUAAGUCGGGUGUGAAAACUUUGGGCUCAACCCAAAGCGUGCAUUCGAUACUGUUGUGACUAGAGUUCGGUAGGGGAGUGGGGAAUUCCUAGUGUAGCGGUGAAAUGCGCAGAUAUUAGGAGGAACACCGGUGGCGAAGGCGCCACUCUGGGCCGAAACUGACGCUGAGGAGCGAAAGCGUGGGUAGCAAACAGGAUUAGAUACCCUGGUAGUCCACGCUGUAAACGAUG
RNAcentral lists this ribosomal RNA (552 nucleotides) under uncultured bacterium. RNAcentral's name for it is "bacterial SSU rRNA". It matches the Rfam family "Bacterial small subunit ribosomal RNA", at positions 243 to 811 of the family's 1533-position model. The record is from RNAcentral.